Molecule: ribosomal RNA, 253 nt
Filed under: uncultured bacterium
Lineage: Bacteria
Description: partial 16S ribosomal RNA
Rfam family: Bacterial small subunit ribosomal RNA
Source: RNAcentral
UACAGAGGUCUCGAGCGUUGCUCGGAUUCAUUGGGCGUAAAGGGUGCGUAGGCGGUUCCAUAAGUCAGUGGUGAAAUACAAUAGCUUAACUAUUGAGGUGCCAUUGAUACUGCGGAACUUGAGUACAGACGAGGUAGGCGGAAUUGACGGUGUAGCGGUGAAAUGCUUAGAUAUCGUCAAGAACACCGAUAGCGAAGGCAGCUUACUGGACUGUAACUGACGCUGAUGCACGAAAGUGUGGGGAUCAAACAGG